GAAUCAUUGGGCGUAAAGGGUACGUAGGCGGAUAAGCAAGUUAGAAGUGAAAUCCUAUAGCUCAACUAUAGUAAGCUUCUAAAACUGCUCAUCUUGAGGUAUGGAAGGGAAAGUGGAAUUCCUAGUGUAGCGGUGAAAUGCGCAGAUAUUAGGAGGAAUACCGGUGGCGAAGGCGACUUUCUGGCCAUAAACUGACGCUGAGGUACGAAAGCGUGGGUAGCAAACAGGAUUAGAUACCCUGGUAGUCAAGGGCG
RNAcentral lists this ribosomal RNA (254 nucleotides) under uncultured Eubacteriales bacterium. RNAcentral describes it as "uncultured Clostridiales bacterium partial 16S ribosomal RNA". It matches the Rfam family "Bacterial small subunit ribosomal RNA", at positions 548 to 802 of the family's 1533-position model. The record is from RNAcentral. Lineage: Bacteria; Bacillati; Bacillota; Clostridia; Eubacteriales.